UACAGAGGUGGCAAGCGUUAAUCGGAAUUACUGGGCGUAAAGCGUGCGCAGGCGGUGAUGUAAGACAGAUGUGAAAUCCCCGGGCUCAACCUGGGAACUGCAUUUGUGACUGCAUCGCUGGAGUGCGGCAGAGGGGGAUGGAAUUCCGCGUGUAGCAGUGAAAUGCGUAGAUAUGCGGAGGAACACCGAUGGCGAAGGCAAUCCCCUGGGCCUGCACUGACGCUCAUGCACGAAAGCGUGGGGAGCAAACAGG
RNAcentral lists this ribosomal RNA (253 nucleotides) under uncultured bacterium. RNAcentral's name for it is "partial 16S ribosomal RNA". It matches the Rfam family "Bacterial small subunit ribosomal RNA", at positions 524 to 776 of the family's 1533-position model. The record is from RNAcentral.